This 1656-nucleotide long non-coding RNA is filed under the name Malus domestica (apple). RNAcentral describes it as "long non-coding RNA (MDOM_LNC020660)". The record is from RNAcentral. Lineage: Eukaryota; Viridiplantae; Streptophyta; Magnoliopsida; Rosales; Rosaceae.
UAAAUAAAUUUAAACAUUGACAUAAAGAUAGAAAACACCUAGAAACGCUCCAACAAUCCAACGUCUUGAAUGGCAUGCACGGCUCCAAGUUGUCUUCCUUCUUCUCCUUGCAAACUCAUGGCACAAUGAGGAAUGGUUGGGUAUGGACUAAGGUAGAAGUGUUGAGGAAGGGUGGGGGUGCGGCAAGGUCAGAUUGUAUGGUGAAUGGGAGUGAAUUGGUGCGGCAAAGGGAUCUUGUGAAUUUCUGGAGUGAAUUGUGGUGAGUGGUGUCAAUGAAUGGGUGCGGCAUCAUGUAUUUAUAGGGUCCUAAAAGUCUAGCAAAUCAGAUUAGGAUUUGGAGGAUUAAAUCCCAUCAGGAAAGGGCUUAGAAAUUUGAAAUAAAAAGGGAUAAUGCUUCCUAGGUGCGGCAGGUAAGGAGAUGAGGUGAUAAGGCUUCUAGAAUGCCUUGCAAGGUAAGGAAAAUCAGCUUUCUAGAAGGGAGAGGUGCGGCACUAAAGGAUAGGGCAGAUUAGGGCUUCUAGAAACCCUCUAAUGCAAGGAAAACUCACGGCAAGGAUGGAUAAGGUUUCUAGAACAAGGAUAAGGUAUCCUAAAUGGAUAAGGUGCCCUAAAUGGAUAAGGAUUCCUCAUGCACUUGGAAACUUCUUUGUUGCUUCACUUGAGACCAUUUGGAUUUUGACUUUCCUACAUCAAGUAGGAAACCUUGUUUGAGUAGGAAUCUUCAUCUUCAAGGAAUCCUAAUGCAACUAGGAAACCCAUUUUGACUAGGAAUCCUAAUUCAACUAGGAUUCCAUCUUCACUUAGGGACUUUCCCACUUCAACUAGGAAACUUUGUUAAAGUAGGAAACAUCAUCUUCAAAUCUUCAAUUUCGUCCAUCCUCUUGGCUCCAAGCAUAUGACAUCCAUUCCAAGCUGAAAUGUGCUCCAAAAGGCUCCAAAAUGCUUCUUUUGAUGUAAUAUGCCUUUAAAACCUGAAAACACAUAAAACUAGCUUAAAAGCAUACUUUACUAAGGAAAAACACUAUCAAUGCACAAGAACAGGCACUAAGGCGCAUAAAUAUGCUCCUAUCAUAUUUCUUCCUUGAUUAAAUUAUGUCGUUUUGAAUUUAGAGGACGAAAUUUUCUUAAGGGGGUAGUUGUGACAUUCCGUCCCGAGAUUUAUUGUAUUUUAUUCUCAGUAGUAGUGAAAUUAUCAAAAUAUGCCUGAGAUGCCACGGCCUUCCACAUUGACCUCAAUUUUCCUUUCACUUUUCCAAUCUUAUUUUACUAUUUUUGAAUAGUACUCAUUUUUAUGAACAUGUGGCCUUAAACGGAACUCAAUUCGGAUGUAUAAUGAAAAAGUUAUGUUUGAAAUAAUAUAAAUUCACCUGAAAGAGGUUCAAACUUUAAAAACCAACCUCGUACAGUGUGCACCACUGCCUUGGUUUGGCAUAGGAAACAUAUAUCAGCCUUCAAAUAGGCUUAAUGAUGAGGGAUGGUGUUCAAGUUGCUUUAAACAAAUAUUAUUUUAGGUUUUAGAAACCCAAAACUUGCUCCAUCUCACAUCACAUCAUUUUCCCUUCUUUUUGGCUGGUUCCCUCAUGAUGCGAAAUAGAUAAGCACACAAAUUAAACCCUCUUUUUGUCAAAUUGUAGCAAAGAUGUAAGUAGGGAUCGU